This 466-nucleotide ribosomal RNA is filed under the name uncultured bacterium. RNAcentral's name for it is "bacterial SSU rRNA". It matches the Rfam family "Bacterial small subunit ribosomal RNA", at positions 330 to 793 of the family's 1533-position model. The record is from RNAcentral.
UCCAGACUCCUACGGGAGGCAGCAGUGAGGAAUAUUGGUCAAUGGGCUUACGCCUGAACCAGCCAAGUCGCGUGAGGGAGGACUGCCCCAUGGGUUGUAAACCUCUUUUGUCAGGGAGCAACGCCGGCUACGUGUAGCCGGACUGAGAGUACCUGAAGAAAAAGCAUCGGCUAACUCCGUGCCAGCAGCCGCGGUAAUACGGAGGAUGCGAGCGUUAUCCGGAUUUAUUGGGUUUAAAGGGUGCGUAGGCGGAAUGCCAAGUCAGCGGUAAAAUCGCGGGGCUCAACCUCGCUCCGCCGUUGAAACUGGCGUUCUUGAGUGGGCGAGAAGUAUGCGGAAUGCGUGGUGUAGCGGUGAAAUGCAUAGAUAUCACGCAGAACUCCGAUUGCGAAGGCAGCAUGCCGGCGCCCAACUGACGCUGAAGCACGAAAGCGUGGGUAUCGAACAGGAUUAGAUACCCGCGUAG